GCGCGAAAACUUUACAAUGCUGGCAACAGCGAUAAGGGAACCUCGAGUGCCAGGUUACAAAUCUGGCUGUCGAGAUGCCUAAAAAGCAUUUCAUAGCAAGGGCCGGGCAAGACCGGUGCCAGCCGCCGCGGUAACACCGGCGGCUCGAGUGGUAACCGUUAUUAUUGGGUCUAAAGGGUCUGUAGCCGGCCGGGUAAGUCUCUUGGGAAAUCUGGCAGCUCAACUGUCAGGCUUUCAGGAGAUACCGUCUGGCUCGAGGCCGGGAGAGGUGAGAGGUACUUCAGGGGUAGGGGUGAAAUCUUGUAAUCCUUGAAGGACCACCAGUGGCGAAGGCGUCUCACCAGAACGGACCUGACGGCAAGGGGCGAAAGCUAGGGGCACGAACCG
Molecule: ribosomal RNA, 387 nt
Filed under: uncultured bacterium
Lineage: Bacteria
Description: bacterial SSU rRNA
Rfam family: Archaeal small subunit ribosomal RNA
Source: RNAcentral